Molecule: ribosomal RNA, 221 nt
Filed under: uncultured bacterium
Lineage: Bacteria
Description: partial 16S ribosomal RNA
Rfam family: Bacterial small subunit ribosomal RNA
Source: RNAcentral
GCUCAUGGCUCAGGAUGAACGCUAGCUACAGGCUUGACACAUGCAAGUCGAGGGGCAGCAUGGUCUUAGCUUGCUAAGGCCGAUGGCGACCGGCGCACGGGUGAGUAACACGUAUCCAACCUGCCGUCUACUCUUGGACAGCCUUCUGAAAAGGAAGAUUAAUACAAGAUGGCAUCAUGAGUCCGCAUGUUCACAUGAUUAAAGGUAUUCCGGGUAGACGA